This 470-nucleotide ribosomal RNA is filed under the name uncultured bacterium. Its description in RNAcentral is "bacterial SSU rRNA". It matches the Rfam family "Bacterial small subunit ribosomal RNA", at positions 36 to 490 of the family's 1533-position model. The record is from RNAcentral.
GGCCGCGGGAAUUCGAUUCAGGCCUAACACAUGCAAGUCGAACGGUAACGGGUCCUUCGGGAUGCCGACGAGUGGCGAACGGGUGAGUAAUGCAUCGGAACGUGCCCAGUAAUGGGGGAUAGCUCGGCGAAAGCCGGAUUAAUACCGCAUACGCCCUGAGGGGGAAAGUGGGGGAUCGCAAGACCUCACGUUAUUGGAGCGGCCGAUGUCGGAUUAGCUAGUUGGUGAGGUAAAGGCUCACCAAGGCGACGAUCCGUAGCUGGUCUGAGAGGACGGCCAGCCACACUGGGACUGAGACACGGCCCAGACUCCUACGGGAGGCAGCAGUGGGGAAUUUUGGACAAUGGGGGAAACCCUGAUCCAGCCAUGCCGCGUGAGUGAAGAAGGCCUUCGGGUUGUAAAGCUCUUUCGGACGGAAAGAAAUCGCGCUCUCUAACAUAGGGCGUGGAUGACGGUACCGUAAGAAGAAG